RNAcentral lists this transfer RNA (73 nucleotides) under Caudoviricetes sp. RNAcentral's name for it is "tRNA-Cys". It matches the Rfam family "tRNA". Rfam says of the family: Transfer RNA (tRNA) molecules are approximately 80 nucleotides in length. Their secondary structure includes four short double-helical elements and three loops (D, anti-codon, and T loops). Further hydrogen bonds mediate the characteristic L-shaped molecular structure. tRNAs have two regions of fundamental functional importance: the anti-codon, which is responsible for specific mRNA codon recognition, and the 3' end, to which the tRNAs corresponding amino acid is attached (by aminoacyl-tRNA synthetases). tRNAs cope with the degeneracy of the genetic code in two manners: having more than one tRNA (with a specific anti-codon) for a particular amino acid; and 'wobble' base-pairing, i.e. permitting non-standard base-pairing at the 3rd anti-codon position. The record is from RNAcentral. Lineage: Duplodnaviria; Heunggongvirae; Uroviricota; Caudoviricetes.
GCCCCUGUAGCCAAGCGGUAAGGCUGUUGGUUGCAACCCAACGAUUGCGCAUGUUCGAAUCAUGUCAGGGGCU